Molecule: long non-coding RNA, 414 nt
Organism: Oncorhynchus tshawytscha (Chinook salmon)
Lineage: Eukaryota; Metazoa; Chordata; Actinopteri; Salmoniformes; Salmonidae
Source: Ensembl
GUAAGAGAGGGAGGAGGAGGGCUGGAGAGAAGAGAGAGGAGAGAGAGAGGGAGGAGGGCUGGAGAGAAGAGAGAGGAGGUAAGGAGAGGGAGGAGGGCUGGAGAGGAGAGUGAGGAAAGGAGAGGGAGGAGGGCUGGAGAGAAGAGAGAGAGGAGAGGAGAGGGAGGAGGGCUGGAGAGAAGAGGGAGGAGAGGAGAGGGAGGAGGGCUGGAGAGAAGAGAGUGAGGUAAGGAGAGGGAGGAGGGCUGGAGAGAAGAGAGAGGAGAGGAGAGGGAGGAGGACUGGAGAGAAAGAGAGGAGGUAAGGAGAGGGAGGAGGGCUGGAGAGAGAGGGAGGAAAGGAGAGGGAGGAGGGCUGGAGAGAAGAGAGAGAGGAAAGGAGAGGGAGGAGGGCUGGAGAGAGGAGAGAGAGGAG